Molecule: ribosomal RNA, 524 nt
Filed under: uncultured bacterium
Lineage: Bacteria
Description: partial 16S ribosomal RNA
Rfam family: Bacterial small subunit ribosomal RNA
Source: RNAcentral
UGGGGAAUAUUGGACAAUGGGGGCAACCCUGAUCCAGCAAUGCCGCGUGUGUGAAGAAGGUCUUCGGAUUGUAAAGCACUUUCGACGGGGACGAUGAUGACGGUACCCGUGGAAGAAGCCCCGGCUAACUUCGUGCCAGCAGCCGCGGUAAUACGAAGGGGGCUAGCGUUGCUCGGAAUGACUGGGCGUAAAGGGCGUGUAGGCGGUUUACACAGUCAGAUGUGAAAUCCCCGGGCUUAACCUGGGAGCUGCAUUUGAUACGUGUAGACUAGAGUGUGAGAGAGGGUUGUGGAAUUCCCAGUGUAGAGGUGAAAUUCGUAGAUAUUGGGAAGAACACCGGUGGCGAAGGCGGCAACCUGGCUCAUGACUGACGCUGAGGCGCGAAAGCGUGGGGAGCAAACAGGAUUAGAUACCCUGGUAGUCCACGCUGUAAACGAUGUGUGCUAGAUGUUGGGUAACUUUGUUAUUCAGUGUCGCAGUUAACGCGUUAAGCACACCGCCUGGGGAGUACGGCCGCAAGGUUG